AUUGAACGCUGGCGGAAUGCUUUACACAUGCAAGUCGAGCGGCAGCGCGGCCUUCGGGCUGGCGGCGAGCGGCGAACGGGUGAGUAAUGCAUCGGAACAUGCCCAGUCGUGGGGGAUAACACUUCGAAAGAAGUGCUAAUACCGCAUACGUCCUGAGGGGGAAAGCGGGGGAUCGCAAGACCUCGCGCGAUUGGAGUGGCCGAUGUCAGAUUAGCUAGUUGGUGGGGUAAAGGCCUACCAAGGCGACGAUCUGUAGCUGGUCUGAGAGGAUGAUCAGCCACACUGGGACUGGGACACGGCCCAGACUCCUACGGGAGGCAGCAGUGGGGAAUUUUGGACAAUGGGGGCAACCCUGAUCCAGCCAUUCCGCGUGAGUGGAGAAGGCCUUCGGGUUGUAAAGCUCUUUCGGCAGGAACGAAACGGUGGGCUCUAACAUAGUCCGCUAAUGACGGUACCUGAAGAAGAAGCACCGGCUAACUACGUG
This 484-nucleotide ribosomal RNA is filed under the name uncultured bacterium. Its description in RNAcentral is "partial 16S ribosomal RNA". It matches the Rfam family "Bacterial small subunit ribosomal RNA", at positions 29 to 507 of the family's 1533-position model. The record is from RNAcentral.